RNAcentral lists this transfer RNA (74 nucleotides) under Flavobacteriaceae bacterium. RNAcentral describes it as "tRNA-Arg". It matches the Rfam family "tRNA". From Rfam's summary of the family: Transfer RNA (tRNA) molecules are approximately 80 nucleotides in length. Their secondary structure includes four short double-helical elements and three loops (D, anti-codon, and T loops). Further hydrogen bonds mediate the characteristic L-shaped molecular structure. tRNAs have two regions of fundamental functional importance: the anti-codon, which is responsible for specific mRNA codon recognition, and the 3' end, to which the tRNAs corresponding amino acid is attached (by aminoacyl-tRNA synthetases). tRNAs cope with the degeneracy of the genetic code in two manners: having more than one tRNA (with a specific anti-codon) for a particular amino acid; and 'wobble' base-pairing, i.e. permitting non-standard base-pairing at the 3rd anti-codon position. The record is from RNAcentral. Lineage: Bacteria; Pseudomonadati; Bacteroidota; Flavobacteriia; Flavobacteriales; Flavobacteriaceae.
GGCCCAAUAGCUCAGCUGGAUAGAGCAUCUGCCUUCUAAGCAGACGGUCUCAGGUUCGAAUCCUGAUUGGGUCA